RNAcentral lists this small RNA (2931 nucleotides) under Mytilus galloprovincialis (Mediterranean mussel). Lineage: Eukaryota; Metazoa; Mollusca; Bivalvia; Mytilida; Mytilidae. The record is from RNAcentral.
AUGGGUUUACACACAGCUCCCAACUCAUUUCAGUUGUUAAUGGACAAGAUUUUACGAGGUUUGACAUUUAAAUCUUGCUUAUGUUAUCUAGACGACGUUCUCAUUUGCUCCGAAACUUUCGAACAACAUAUGUCUGAUCUUCAAGAAGUUUUUGAUCGUUUCCGUAAUGCAGGGCUUAAACUUAAUCCACAGAAAUGUACUUUUGCAAAUUCGUCAGCAAUAUUUUUAGGACACCAUAUUUCAAAAGAAGGCAUCCGACCACCUCCCGACCGUGUCAGGGCUUUGAAUGAAUUUCCUCCUCCACAGAAUGUUAAACAGCUACGUCGUGCGUUAGGUAUGUUUAAUUGGUUUCGGAAAUUUAUUCCAAACUACAGCUCAGCGGCCGAACCGCUUACUCGAUUAUUAAAGAAAUCUGCUAAAUUUGUGUGGUCACAGGAACAGGAAACAUCAUUUACAAGAAUCAAACAUUUAUUGCUAACAUCCGCAGUUUUGGCAUUUCCUAGAUUUGAUUUACAAUUUUUCCUAGCAGUAGAUAGUUCAGCGACAGGUAUAGGCUACAUGCUUUAUCAAAAACACCCAAGUGAUACAGGUGAACAAAUCCGAGUGGUACGGUUUGGGUCUAAAUCAUUGAACUCAUGGCAGAAAUCAUACGGACCAACCAAAUUGGAAUUACUAGGAGUUGUUACAAGUAUAGUUGACUGUGCUAGUUAUUUACGCGGAGACAGAUUCACCGUAGAAUGUGACCAUCAGGCGUUGCGAUCGUUAUUUCAAAAUCAGUUUAAAGGAGCCAUUUACGACCGAUGGUUAGCUGUGUUACAACAAUUUAAUUUUGAUAUCAAAUACAAGCCUGCCGCCGAUAUGCAAGUUCCCGAUGCACUUUCAAGAGUCGAAAAUGCGCCACUACUGGACGUUAAUGCGGAAGAAUCACUUAAUGAAAAUGACCCCCAUUUUCCGUAUGAAGUCGAAGAAGUUGGAAAAAUUUCAUUUGUUAAUUUUGCAAAACUCAGUACUGACGAAAUCGAAACGGGUUAUACAGCAGAUACCGAGGAGGAGUCGAGUAAAUUGACAUUCAAACAAGAAAGUAUUGAUGGACAUUCGUCUUUACCGUGCAAUUCAGUGACUUUAGCCGAUAGUGGGAUUACUUCGAAUUACCCUGAUGAUAACCGAACUACUAAUGAAAACGAUUCACUUUUUAUCGAUAGUCACUCAUGUGACGUAGAUAGUUCCGAAAACAAUUCUUUUUUACAGAGGCACCCGACGGAUUUAUUCGAUGUAUGUGGAAAUGAAUGCGUUUCUGACUGUGCUUGUGACACUUUGUUUGUAAAUAAAUAUGAAAAUGAGACUGAUAACUUACGCAUUGAUGAUUUAACUCCUAUUUUACAACGGCAUCCUAUUGAUUUUAUUGAUUCUUGUGGACCUGAAUGUGAUCAAACUGGUGAUAGUUUAUAUUUACAUGUACAUAACUCUGGAUUUGGUACUGAAUUCACAACAGUACAGGAUAUAAAAUUUGUUGGCACAGCUGAUAAGACACGUGAUCAGCCAACUGAUUUUAACAGAGAAAAUAUUAAACAUUUACAAAGACUAGACGAAACAUUACUUCCAGUUAUUCUUUACUUAGAAAAUGGAACAUUACCGAAACUUCAGAAGGAAGCUCGUCGUUUGUUAUUAAAAGCACCUGAUUACAGCAUGAUCGAUGACUUAUUAUUUCACUCGCGGGUUGCAAAGUCGAAACGCACCCAAAGAAUGGGAGAAUUUCAGUUAGUUAUUCCUAAACAAUUGAUACCUAAAGUUUUAGAAACUUACCACCAAACACCUUUAGCAGGCCAUAUGGGUAUACAACAAACAGUGGACAAUAUUUCAGAACAAUUUUAUUUUCAAAACUUGCCAUCAACAGUGUCAAGUUAUGUUCGUUCUUGUCACGACUGUCAGGAACGAAAGAUGACAAAAGCUCAUACGAAGUCCGAAAUAAUUUCUUUUCGAACGCCUACAGAACCUUUUCAAACUUGGCAGGUAGACUUGUUUGGACCAUUGCCAAUAACACAAAAAGGGAACGCAUAUGUUUUCACAGCAGUUGAUAUGUUUUCCAAACUAUUAUUUUGUGUUCCGUUACUCAGUUCAGACUCAGUUACAGUGUCACAUGCACUUUUUCAAUUAGUAUGUACUUUUGGCGUGUGUGAUUGCGUUAUAAGUGACAAAGGUAGUGAAUUUAUUUCACAAUGCACUGAUCAGCUUUGCAAAAUUUUAGAAGUAAAUCAAAACUUUACCCCAAGUUUUAUACACCAUUGCUUGGGAUUGUGCGAACGUACACAUAGGACUGUUGCAGAACGUUUAACACCUUAUACUAAAAAGGGAAUACAGUGGGACAAUAUGUUACCUGCGAUAACAUUUUCUUUUAAUAUCUCGCCAAGUGACUCAACUAAAUAUUCGCCGUACGAAGUGGUUUACGGAUUUCGUCCGAAAUUUCCUCUUUCCGUUUCGAAACUUGGAAUAGACCUUAAUUCGCUUCAUAGUGAUUAUCAUAGUUAUAUGAACCAACAAAUAGACAAACUGAAACUAAUCCGAGAAGAAGCAGUUGUUAAUGCACAAAAAGCAAGUGAAAUUAUGAAGGAACGCGAAAAUAAAAAGACAAAUCCGCUUAAACUUAACAUUGGUGAUUUUGUAUAUAUGUUGAAAGAAGUAGUUGGACCAGGAAAAAAGCUUCAACCAAAAUACGCGGGACCAUAUGUUGUUCAUGAAAUUUUAUCGCCACAUUUAGUUAAACUCCGAGAAAAGGACAGUGGUAAAUUGUUUAAGAAUCCAGUGCAUUUGGACCGUCUUAAAAUAGCGUUUGUUCGCGCUCCGAAUCCGACCAAUUAUUUUAUUCCAAUAUCAGUGAAAAAUGAGCAAACUUUGAAUGAAAUAGAAAAAGGAGCUAUCACUAAUUCCGAAUAA